UGACAUGAACACAGGUGCUC
Molecule: non-coding RNA, 20 nt
Filed under: Mus musculus (house mouse)
Lineage: Eukaryota; Metazoa; Chordata; Mammalia; Rodentia; Muridae
Source: RNAcentral